UACGGGGGGGGUAAGCGUUGUUCGGAAUUACUGGGCGUAAAGGGCUUGUAGGUGGCCAACUAAGUCAGACGUGAAAUCCCUCGGCUUAACCGGGGAACUGCAUCCGAAACUGCCUUGCUAGAGUAUGGGAGAGGGAAGUGGAAUUUCCGGUGUAGCGGUGAAAUGCGUAGAUAUCGGAAGGAACAUCAGUGGCGAAGGCGACUUCCUGGACCAAUACUGACGCUCAGGUGCGAAAGCGUGGGGAGCAAACAGG
This 253-nucleotide ribosomal RNA is filed under the name uncultured bacterium. Its description in RNAcentral is "partial 16S ribosomal RNA". It matches the Rfam family "Bacterial small subunit ribosomal RNA", at positions 524 to 776 of the family's 1533-position model. The record is from RNAcentral.